RNAcentral lists this ribosomal RNA (253 nucleotides) under uncultured bacterium. RNAcentral describes it as "partial 16S ribosomal RNA". It matches the Rfam family "Bacterial small subunit ribosomal RNA", at positions 524 to 776 of the family's 1533-position model. The record is from RNAcentral.
UACGGAGGGUGCGAGCGUUGUUCGGAAUCACUGGGCGUAAAGCGCGUGUAGGCGGCCCACUAAGUCUGAUGUGAAAGCCCGGGGCUCACCCCCGGAAGUGCAUUGGAAACUGGUGGACUCGAGUCCCGGAGAGGAGAGUGGAAUUCCUGGUGUAGCGGUGAAAUGCGUAGAUAUCAGGAGGAACACCGGUGGCGAAGGCGGCCAACUGGACCAUUACUGACGCUGAGGCGCGAAAGCGUGGGGAGCAAACAGG